This 462-nucleotide long non-coding RNA is filed under the name Phocoena sinus (vaquita). Its description in RNAcentral is "lncRNA (ENSPSNG00000022600.1)". Lineage: Eukaryota; Metazoa; Chordata; Mammalia; Artiodactyla; Phocoenidae. The record is from RNAcentral.
GGAAGACAGAACAUGGAUGCUGUUGCCAAGGAAACCACCUCCUUCCUCCCCGUAUGCUGUGCAUACGUGUAUCACUUCAUCUCUCCCCUCUCCAAGGGGAAGAAGGUGGACUCCAUGGCUUAGCUGAAAGCCAGCUCGGUACUCCCCUCAAGCAGCCUGUGCAUCACAGAUUCCUGCCAGGCCCUCCGGAGCAUGUACCCCACACCCUGGCCCAAGGUCUCUUCCCAAAGAGGGGUGAUCUCUCUGCCCUCAGCGCUUUCUCCGAAAAGGGCUGACAUUGGACUGCUGGGCCUCAGCAUGAUUGAAACCUGGGGAGAAGGGCCAGUUCAGGAAGGAAAGCAAGGUCCUGGGCCUCAUGCAAAGAAAAGUGUCCUGCAAGUGAAAGCAUAUAUUCCUGCUAUAUGGUGAGUUUUUUACCAUAAAUGAUGUUGAAUUGUGUCAAAUGAGUUUAAAAAAUUUUAU